UAAGGUGAUCAAACAAUUGUCUACUUGUCACAUAAAAAGGAAGAAAAAAAUGGCUGAAACGCUAAAGGUUGUUUACACUAUGAUCCUUUUAGUGUCCCUAUUUCUUCUUUUAGUUGCUGUUGGUGGUAAGUUUAUUCUCAUAUUUUCUUGUUAAACAAAACCUUCCAUCAUUUUGAAACAACAUUUGUUUAUUUUUAUUUUACCUUACAUCAAAACAUAGUUGUAAGUUAGACACUGGUUGUAAAAAAUAUCGGUGUCCCCCUCUCCAAUUGAUGAUUUGCCUUGAUCGUCAUUGUCAAUGUACAAGCUAUCCUUAAAUUUGGUGAUGACAAGAAAUCAACGGAGCUUUUCUUGUGAUAAUGGUGUUUUUUCAGUACUGUUGAUUUUGUUAUAUGAGUGGAGAUCUUAAAAAUAGACAAAAUUCAAUAAAUAAUUUAUAUAACACUUUAUAAUUGCUCUACAAA
Cicer arietinum (chickpea) is the source of this 464-nucleotide non-coding RNA. Lineage: Eukaryota; Viridiplantae; Streptophyta; Magnoliopsida; Fabales; Fabaceae. The record is from RefSeq and is a predicted model, not a curated record.